UAGUCUACGCCGUAAACGAUGGAUACUAGUUGUUUGGUUUUCGGACUGAGUGACUAAGCGAAAGUGAUAAGUAUCCCACCUGGGGAGUACGUUCGCAAGAAUGAAACUCAAAGGAAUUGACGGGGGCCCGCACAAGCGGUGGAGCAUGUGGUUUAAUUCGAUGAUACGCGAGGAACCUUACCAGGGCUUAAAUGUAGUCUGACAGCUUUAGAGAUAGAGUUUUCUUCGGACAGAUUACAAGGUGCUGCAUGGUUGUCGUCAGCUCGUGCCGUGAGGUGUCAGGUUAAGUCCUAUAACGAGCGCAACCCCUGUUGUUAGUUGCCAGCGAGUAAUAUCGGGGACUCUAAAGAUACUGCCUGUGUAAGCAGAGAGGAAGGAGGGGACGACGUCAAAUCAUCAUGGCCUUUAUGCCUAGGGGCUACACACGUGCUACAAUGGUGGGGGACAAAGAGCUGCAAGCCUGCGAAGGUAAGCGAAUCU
RNAcentral lists this ribosomal RNA (480 nucleotides) under uncultured bacterium. Its description in RNAcentral is "bacterial SSU rRNA". It matches the Rfam family "Bacterial small subunit ribosomal RNA", at positions 791 to 1274 of the family's 1533-position model. The record is from RNAcentral.